CUGCGCCAACAUGCGUCGAUGGGUUUCUAUUGGUUUCGUGCCUUCACUGUGUAGGAAAUGGAUCAUUCCACACUGCUCUUCUUUGGUGCAUUCCAACAGAGAAGCUGCCAUAUUGGAAACGCCCUUAUGUCUCUUCUGGGUCAUGUGGGGAUGCAGGAUCAAUGCCAAUUGAUGGCGGGAGAGUCCACGUGCACGCCUACCAGGUCUGAUCGCAAUGGGAGAAGUUUUCGAUUUUCUACAACGGUUUUCUGGUUUUCAUUUGACUCAGCCUCAUAUGAUCCUUUUUUGGAAAAAUUGAGAAAAGUUUCUAAAACUAUUACUACAGUAGAGUCUCCCUAAUCCGACACAUGAUUUCGGGGCUUGUUGGAUUUCAGAUAUUUGUUGGGUUAUUGGAUGUUCAAGGAAAAAAUGAAAUUACACAAAUGAAUAUGACUUAAGACUUUCCUUUCAC
RNAcentral lists this long non-coding RNA (451 nucleotides) under Androctonus crassicauda. Lineage: Eukaryota; Metazoa; Arthropoda; Arachnida; Scorpiones; Buthidae. The record is from RNAcentral.